AGCCCUUGACAUCCUGUGUUACCCAGAGAGAUUUGGGGUCCACUUCGGUGGCGCAGAGACAGGUGCUGCAUGGCUGUCGUCAGCUCGUGUCGUGAGAUGUUGGGUUAAGUCCCGCAACGAGCGCAACCCUCGCCCUUAGUUGCCAGCAUUCAGUUGGGCACUCUAAGGGGACUGCCGGUGAUAAGCCGAGAGGAAGGUGGGGAUGACGUCAAGUCCUCAUGGCCCUUACGGGCG
This 234-nucleotide ribosomal RNA is filed under the name uncultured bacterium. Its description in RNAcentral is "partial 16S ribosomal RNA". It matches the Rfam family "Bacterial small subunit ribosomal RNA", at positions 977 to 1209 of the family's 1533-position model. The record is from RNAcentral.